GUGAAUCAUCAAAUCUUUGAACGCAAAUUGCGCUUCCUAGCAUCCCGGGAAGUAUGCCUGUUUGAGGGUCAGUAUUAACAAAAAAAUCGGUUUGGUUGCAAAUUGUGACGUUUCCGGAGGUUGAGCUCUCUUAACUUUUGUGGUUAAGGGGCUUAAAAUUGACCUUUUUUGCGCGUUUUUCGACGUACAUAAAUUUUUUUUUUUUUUCGACUAUUCUGAAUGCCAAAAUCUUAUUAGCUCC
This 241-nucleotide unclassified non-coding RNA is filed under the name Rhizophagus sp. (in: glomeromycetes). RNAcentral describes it as "partial contains 5.8S ribosomal RNA and internal transcribed spacer 2". The stretch from base 1 to 71 matches the Rfam family "5.8S ribosomal RNA", at positions 84 to 154 of the family's 154-position model. The record is from RNAcentral. Lineage: Eukaryota; Fungi; Glomeromycota; Glomeromycetes; Glomerales; Glomeraceae.